CAUAUGGAUUGUGUCAGCAGCCGCGCGGUAAUACGAAGGGACCUAGCGUAGUUCGGAAUUACUGGGCUUAAAGAGUUCGUAGGUGGUUGAAAAAGUUGGUGGUGAAAUCCCAGAGCUUAACUCUGGAACUGCCAUCAAAACUUUUCAGCUAGAGUAUGAUAGAGGAAAGCAGAAUUUCUAGUGUAGAGGUGAAAUUCGUAGAUAUUAGAAAGAAUACCAAUUGCGAAGGCAGCUUUCUGGAUCAUUACUGACGCUGAGGGACGAAAGCAUGGGUAGCGAAGAGGAUUAGAUACCCUCGUAGUCCAUGCUGUAAACGAUGUGUGUUAGACGUUGGAAAUUUAUUUUCAGUGUCGCAGCGAAAGCGAUAAACACACCGCCUGGGGAGUACGACCGCAAGGUUAAAACUCAAAUGAAUUGACGGGGACCCGCACAAGUAGUGGAGCAUGUGGUUUAAUUCGAAGAUACGCGCAGAACCUUACCAACACUUGACAUGUUCGUCGCGACUUUAAGAGAUUAAAGUUUUCGGUUCGGCCGGACGAAACACAGGUGCUGCAUGGCUGUCGUCAGCUCGUGUCGUGAGAUGUUGGGUUAAGUCCCGCAACGAGCGCAACCCUCACUUUUAGUUGCCAUCAUUAAGUUGGGCACUCUGAAAGAACUGCCAGUGAUAAGCUGGAGGAAGGUGGGGAUGACGUCAAGUCCUCAUGGCCCUUACGUGUUGGGCUACACACGUGCUACAAUGGUAUCUACAACAGGAAGCAAAACAGCGAUGUUAUGCAAAUCCUUAAAAGAUACCUCAGUUCGGAUUGCACUCUGCAACUCGAGUGCAUGAAGCUGGAAUUACUAGUAAUCGUGGAUCAGCGUGCCACGGUGAAUGCGUUCCCGGGUCUUGCACACACCGCCCGUCA
This 905-nucleotide ribosomal RNA is filed under the name uncultured bacterium. RNAcentral's name for it is "bacterial SSU rRNA". It matches the Rfam family "Bacterial small subunit ribosomal RNA", at positions 494 to 1399 of the family's 1533-position model. The record is from RNAcentral.